This 239-nucleotide ribosomal RNA is filed under the name uncultured bacterium. Its description in RNAcentral is "partial 16S ribosomal RNA". It matches the Rfam family "Bacterial small subunit ribosomal RNA", at positions 524 to 762 of the family's 1533-position model. The record is from RNAcentral.
UACGGAGGGGGUUAGCGUUGUUCGGAAUUACUGGGCGUAAAGCGCACGUAGGCGGAUUAGUAAGUUAGAGGUGAAAUCCCAGGGCUCAACCCUGGAACUGCCUUUAAUACUGCUAGUCUUGAGUUCGAGAGAGGUAAGUGGAAUUCCGAGUGUAGAGGUGAAAUUCGUAGAUAUUCGGAGGAACACCAGUGGCGAAGGCGGCUUACUGGCUCGAUACUGACGCUGAGGUGCGAAAGUGU